This 224-nucleotide ribosomal RNA is filed under the name uncultured bacterium. RNAcentral's name for it is "partial 16S ribosomal RNA". It matches the Rfam family "Bacterial small subunit ribosomal RNA", at positions 1278 to 1500 of the family's 1533-position model. The record is from RNAcentral.
AAACACGGUCUCAGUUCAGAUUGCAGGCUGCAACUCGCCUGCAUGAAGUUGGAAUUGCUAGUAAUCGCGAAUCAGAAUGUCGCGGUGAAUACGUUCCCGGGCCUUGUACACACCGCCCGUCACACCAUGAGAGUCGAUAACACCCGAAGCCUGUGAGCUAACCUUUUAGGAGGCGGCAGUCGAAGGUGGGGUUGAUGAUUGGGAUGAAGUCGUAACAAGGUACC